RNAcentral lists this ribosomal RNA (381 nucleotides) under uncultured eukaryote. RNAcentral describes it as "partial 18S ribosomal RNA". It matches the Rfam family "Eukaryotic small subunit ribosomal RNA", at positions 592 to 976 of the family's 1831-position model. The record is from RNAcentral.
CAAUAGCGUAUAUUAAAGCUGUUGCGGUUAAAAGGCUCGUAGUUGGAUUUCUGUCAAGGACAACUGGUCCGCCCUCCGGGUGAGCACAUAGUUUGGUCUUGACAUCUUGCUGGAAGCUGUUGCUGCACUUGGCUGUGUGGCGCAGUGUUCAGCACUUUCACUUUGAGGAAAUUGGAGUGUUUCAAGCAGGCACAUGCCUUUGGACACAGUAGCAUGGAAUAAUUAGAUUGGGCUUUUGCUCCAAUUUGUCGGUUUCUGGAGCUGAGGUGAGUAUUAAUGGGGAUUGUUGGGGGCAUCCGAAUUUAGCCGUCAGAGGUGAAAUUCUUGGAUCUGCUAAAGACGGACAACUGCGAAAGCGUUUGCCCAGGAUGUUUUCAUUGA